Molecule: ribosomal RNA, 465 nt
Filed under: uncultured Klebsiella sp.
Lineage: Bacteria; Pseudomonadati; Pseudomonadota; Gammaproteobacteria; Enterobacterales; Enterobacteriaceae
Description: bacterial SSU rRNA
Rfam family: Bacterial small subunit ribosomal RNA
Source: RNAcentral
CCUACGGGUGGCAGCAGUGGGGAAUAUUGCGCAAUGGGCGCAAGCCUGAUGCAGCCAUGCCGCGUGUGUGAAGAAGGCCUUCGGGUUGUAAAGCACUUUCAGCGGGGAGGAAGGCGUUAAGGUUAAUAACCUUGUCGAUUGACGUUUCCCUCAGAAGAAGCACCGGCUAACUCCGUGCCAGCAGCCGCGGUAAUACGGAGGGUGCAAGCGUUAAUCGGAAUUACUGGGCGUAAAGCGCACGCAGGCGGUCUGUCAAGUCGGAUGUGAAAUCCCCGGGCUCAACCUGGGAACUGCAUUCGAAACUGGCAGGCUAGAGCCUUGUAGAGGGGGGUAGAAUUCCAGGUGUAGCGGUGAAAUGCGUAGAGAUCUGGAGGAAUACCGGUGGCGAAGGCGGCCCCCUGGACAAAGACUGACGCUCAGGUGCGAAAGCGUGGGGAGCAAACAGGAUUAGAUACCCGUGUAGUC